This 497-nucleotide ribosomal RNA is filed under the name uncultured bacterium. RNAcentral's name for it is "partial 16S ribosomal RNA". It matches the Rfam family "Bacterial small subunit ribosomal RNA", at positions 28 to 507 of the family's 1533-position model. The record is from RNAcentral.
GAUGAACGCUGGCGGCGUGCCUAAUACAUGCAAGUCGAGCGAACAGACGAGGAGCUUGCUCCUCUGACGUUAGCGGCGGACGGGUGAGUAACACGUGGAUAACCUACCUAUAAGACUGGGAUAACUUCGGGAAACCGGAGCUAAUACCGGAUAAUAUAUUGAACCGCAUGGUUCAAUAGUGAAAGUCGGUUUUGCUGUCACUUAUAGAUGGAUCCGCGCCGCAUUAGCUAGUUGGUAAGGUAACGGCUUACCAAGGCAACGAUGCGUAGCCGACCUGAGAGGGUGAUCGGCCACACUGGAACUGAGACACGGUCCAGACUCCUACGGGAGGCAGCAGUAGGGACUCUUCCGCAAUGGGCGAAAGCCUGACGGAGCAACGCCGCGUGAGUGAUGAAGGUCUUCGGAUCGUAAAACUCUGUUAUUAGUGAAGAACAAAUGUGUAAGUAACUAUGCACGUCUUGACGGUACCUAAUCAGAAAGCCCCGGCUAACUACGUG